GGGGCUGUAGCUCAGCAUGGGAGAGCGCCUGAAUCGCACUCAGGAGGUCGUCGGUUCGAUCCCGAUCAGCUCCACCA
This 77-nucleotide transfer RNA is filed under the name Gemmatimonadota bacterium. RNAcentral's name for it is "Gemmatimonadetes bacterium (soil metagenome) tRNA-Ala". It matches the Rfam family "tRNA". From Rfam's summary of the family: Transfer RNA (tRNA) molecules are approximately 80 nucleotides in length. Their secondary structure includes four short double-helical elements and three loops (D, anti-codon, and T loops). Lineage: Bacteria; Pseudomonadati; Gemmatimonadota. The record is from RNAcentral.